CCCUUAGGUGUUCUGGGCCGCACGCGCGCUACACUGACGAAUGCAACGAGCUUAUAACCUUGGCCGAAAGGUCUGGGUAAUCUCCAAAUUUCGUCGUGAUGGGGAUAGAUUAUUGCAAUUAUUAAUCUUCAACGAGGAAUGCCUAGUAAGCGCAAGUCAUCAGCUUGCGUUGAUUACGUCCCUGCCCUUUGUACACACCGCCCGUCGCUCCUACCGAUUGAAUGGUCCGGUGAAGCGUUCGGACCGUGGCCUUUGGACGGUUCGCCGUCUGUUGGCUGCGGGAAGUUCGUUAAACCUUAUCAUUUAGAGGAAGGAGAAGUCGUAACA
This 327-nucleotide ribosomal RNA is filed under the name uncultured eukaryote. RNAcentral describes it as "partial 18S ribosomal RNA". It matches the Rfam family "Eukaryotic small subunit ribosomal RNA", at positions 1470 to 1796 of the family's 1831-position model. The record is from RNAcentral.